AUACGGAGGGGGCUAGCGUUGUUCGGAAUUACUGGGCGUAAAGCGCGCGUAGGCGGCUUUGUAAGUCGGAUGUGAAAGCCCGGGGCCCAACCCCGGAAUUGCAUUCGAAACCGCCAAGCUAGAGUCCUGGAGAGGAAGGCGGAAUUCCCGGUGUAGAGGUGAAAUUCGUAGAUAUCGGGAGGAACACCAGCGGCGAAGGCGGCCUUCUGGACAGUGACUGACGCUGAGACGCGAAAGCGUGGGGAGCAAACAGGAUUAGAAACCCCGGUAGUCC
Molecule: ribosomal RNA, 274 nt
Filed under: uncultured bacterium
Lineage: Bacteria
Description: partial 16S ribosomal RNA
Rfam family: Bacterial small subunit ribosomal RNA
Source: RNAcentral